RNAcentral lists this ribosomal RNA (426 nucleotides) under uncultured bacterium. RNAcentral describes it as "bacterial SSU rRNA". It matches the Rfam family "Bacterial small subunit ribosomal RNA", at positions 356 to 773 of the family's 1533-position model. The record is from RNAcentral.
AGGGAAUCUUCCGCAAUGGGCGCAAGCCUGACGGAGCAACGCCGCGUGAGCGAGGACGGCCUUCGGGUUGUAAAGCUCUGUUCUUCGGGAAGAAGGGCGGGAGGGCGAACAACUCUUCCGCUUGACGGUACCGAAGGAGAAAGCCCCGGCUAACUACGUGCCAGCAGCCGCGGUAAUACGUAGGGGGCGAGCGUUGUCCGGAAUUAUUGGGCGUAAAGCGCGCGUAGGCGGCUGGUUAAGGCCUGGGUGAAAGACCACGGCUCAACCGGGGGGGUGCACGGGAAACUGGCCGGCUUGAGUGCAGGAGAGGGGAGCGGAAUUCCCGGUGUGGCGGUGGAAUGCGUAGAGAUCGGGAGGAACACCAGUGGCGAAGGCGGCUCCCUGGCCUGUAACUGACGCUGAGGCGCGAAAGCGUGGGGAGCGAAC